RNAcentral lists this ribosomal RNA (342 nucleotides) under Panurgica compressicollis. Its description in RNAcentral is "partial 12S ribosomal RNA". Lineage: Eukaryota; Metazoa; Arthropoda; Insecta; Mantodea; Hymenopodidae. The record is from RNAcentral.
UAUUAUUUUUAUUGUAAAAAAGUUAAAUUGGAGUAUUAAUAGAUAUGAUCUUUAAACUUAAAGAAUUUGGCGGUAUUGUAGUCUAUUUAGAGGAAUCUGUUAAAUAAUCGAUAAUCCACGUUGAACCUUACUCAUAUUAAUUCUUGUAUAUCGCUGUUUAGAAAAUACUUUUAGGUUAUUUUCUGAAUUUAAUAUUUGAUCAAAUUUCAAGUCAAGGUGCAGUUAUAUGUGAGUUGAAUAAUGGAUUACAAUAAAUUUUAUUUAACUAUGAAUAAUUAUUGUAAUAUAAUUUUGAAAGUGGAUUUAAUAGUAAUUUUAUAAAGAUUAAUAGAUGAUCSACGC